AGACCCGAAACCCGGUGAUCUAGCCAUGGGCAGGUUGAAGGUUGGGUAACACUAACUGGAGGACCGAACCGACUAAUGUUGAAAAAUUAGCGGAUGACCUGUGGCUGGGGGUGAAAGGCCAAUCAAACCGGGAGAUAGCUGGUUCUCCCCGAAAGCUAUUUAGGUAGCGCCUCGUGAAUUCAUCUCCGGGGGUAGAGCACUGUUUCGGCUAGGGGGCCAUCCCGGCUUACCAACCCGAUGCAAACUGCGAAUACCGGAGAAUGUUAUCACGGGAGACACACGGCGGGUGCUAACGUCCGUCGUGAAGAGGGAAACAACCCAGACCGCCAGCUAAGGUCCCAAAGUCAUGGUUAAGUGGGAAACGAUGUGGGAAGGCCCAGACAGCCAGGAUGUUGGCUUAGAAGCAGCCAUCAUUUAAAGAAAGCGUAAUAGCUCACUGGUCGAGUCGGCCUGCGCGGAAGAUGUAACGGGGCUAAACCAUGCACCGAAGCUGCGGCAGCGAACGUAUCACUUAAAGCGAUUCAGCGGGUUACGAUUGACGGAGCGAAGCGACGUCAAAGCGUAUACAAAGUCGAGUCGGUUUAAGGAUACGUUCGUUGGGUAGGGGAGCGUUCUGUAAGCCUGUGAAGGUGGCCUGUGAGGGUUGCUGGAGGUAUCAGAAGUGCGAAUGCUGACAUAAGUAACGAUAAA
Molecule: ribosomal RNA, 690 nt
Filed under: Salmonella enterica
Lineage: Bacteria; Pseudomonadati; Pseudomonadota; Gammaproteobacteria; Enterobacterales; Enterobacteriaceae
Also listed under: 2 other names
Description: partial 23S ribosomal RNA
Rfam family: Bacterial large subunit ribosomal RNA
Source: RNAcentral